AUAUCAAUAAGCGGAGGAAAAGAAACCAACAGGGAUUGCCCUAGUAACGGCGAGUGAAGCGGCAUCAGCUCAAAUUUGAAAUCUGGCUCUUUCAGAGUCCGAGUUGUAAUUUGCAGAGGGCGCUUUGGCGUUGGCAGCGGUCUAAGUUCCCUGGAACAGGACGUCACAGAGGGUGAGAAUCCCGUAUGUGGUCGCUGGCCUUCGCCGUGUAAAGCCCCUUCGACGAGUCGAGUUGUUUGGGAAUGCAGCUCUAAAUGGGAGGUAAAUUUCUUCUAAAGCUAAAUACUGGCCAGAGACCGAUAGCGCACAAGUAGAGUGAUCGAAAGAUGAAAAGCACUUUGGAAAGAGAGUCAAAUAGCACGUGAAAUUGUUGAAAGGGAAGCGCUUGCAGCCAGACUUGCCUGUAGUUGCUCAUCCGGGCUUUUGCCCGGUGCACUCUUCUGCGGGCAGGCCAGCAUCAGUUUGGGCGGUUGGAUAAAGGUCUCUGUCAUGUACCUCCUUUCGGGGAGGCCUUAUAGGGGAGACGACAUGCAACCAGCCUGGACUGAGGUCCGCGCAUCUGCUAGGAUGCUGGCGUAAUGGCUGUAAGCGGCCCGUCUUGAAACACGGACCAAGGAGUCUAACAUCUAUGCGAGUGUUUGGGUGUCAAGCCCGAGCGCGUAAUGAAAGUGAACGGAGGUGGGAUCCCUUAAGGGUGCACCAUCGACCGAUCCUGAUGUCUUCGGAUGGAUUUGAGUAAGAGCAUGGCUGUUGGGACCCGAAAGAUGGUGAACUAUGCUUGAAUAGGGUGAAGCCAGAGGAAACUCUGGUGGAGGCUCGCAGCGGUUCUGACGUGCAAAUCGAUCGUCAAAUUUGGGCAUAGGGGCGAAAGACUAAUCGAACUAUCUAGUAGCUGGUUCCUGCCAAUUU
Molecule: ribosomal RNA, 909 nt
Filed under: Pyrenochaeta nobilis
Lineage: Eukaryota; Fungi; Ascomycota; Dothideomycetes; Pleosporales; Cucurbitariaceae
Description: partial large subunit ribosomal RNA
Rfam family: Eukaryotic large subunit ribosomal RNA
Source: RNAcentral